Molecule: unclassified non-coding RNA, 234 nt
Filed under: uncultured Clitopilus
Lineage: Eukaryota; Fungi; Basidiomycota; Agaricomycetes; Agaricales; Entolomataceae
Description: sequence contains ITS1
Source: RNAcentral
AUGAAUAAACUUGGUCAGGUUGUUGCCGGUUCUUUCGGGGACAUGUGCACGCUUGCCACCAAUUUUAACCACCUGUGCACCUUUUGUAGACUGGAAACGUUUCUCGAGGCAACUCGGAUUGAGAACUGCUGCGCGCAAGCCAGCUGUUCUUGUGUUUCUCAGUCUAUGUUUUCAUAUACUCCUAAUGUAUGUAAUCGAAUGUAUUGCUAGGCCUUAGUGCCUUUAAAUCAAAUA